AACGAGCGCUGGCGGCAGGCUUAACACAUGCAAGUCGAGGGGCAGCACAGAUAGCAAUAUUGGGUGGCGACCGGCGAACGGGUGCGGAACACGUACACAACCUUCCUUUUAGUGUGGGAUAGCCCAGAGAAAUUUGGAUUAAUACCACAUAGUAUAUUGGAGUGGCAUCACUUUGAUAUUAAAGAUUUAUCGCUAAAAGAUGGGUGUGCGUAUGAUUAGGUAGUUGGUAGAGGUAACGGCUCACCAAGCCUUCGAUCAUUAACUGGUGUGAGAGCACGACCAGUCACACGGGCACUGAGACACGGGCCCGACUCCUACGGGAGGCAGCAGUAAGGAAUAUUGGUCAAUGGACGGAAGUCUGAACCAGCCAUGCCGCGUGAAGGAUGACGGCCCUCUGGGUUGUAAACUUCUUUUAUGUGGGACGAAAAAGGGCCAUUUUUGGUCAACUGACGGUACCAUAGGAAUAAGCACCGGCUAACUCCGUGCCAGCCGCCGCCGUAA
This 501-nucleotide ribosomal RNA is filed under the name uncultured bacterium. RNAcentral describes it as "partial 16S ribosomal RNA". It matches the Rfam family "Bacterial small subunit ribosomal RNA", at positions 29 to 523 of the family's 1533-position model. The record is from RNAcentral.